This 387-nucleotide unclassified non-coding RNA is filed under the name soil metagenome. Its description in RNAcentral is "partial contains 5.8S ribosomal RNA, internal transcribed spacer 2, and large subunit ribosomal RNA". The stretch from base 1 to 120 matches the Rfam family "5.8S ribosomal RNA", at positions 35 to 154 of the family's 154-position model. The record is from RNAcentral.
GAUGAAGAACGUAGCGAAAUGCGAUAAGUAAUGUGAAUUGCAGAAUUCAGUGAAUCAUCGAAUCUUUGAACGCACCUUGCACCCUUUGGUAUUCCGAAGGGUAUGCUCGUUUGAGUGUCAUUGUACUCUCACACUUCUAAUUCCUUUCGGGAUUGGGAGCGGUGGACUUGGGUGUUGCUGCUUUAGUUGCGGCUCACCUCAAAUAAGUUAGUGCAACUCUUGGUUGGACAUAGUACGGCGUGAUAAGUGUCUUCGCCGGCGCCUCUGUAAGGAGGGUGGCCGAUCGGGAGCUCUGUGCUUCAAACCGUCUUCGGACAAUCUUUGACAACUUGACCUCAAAUCGAGUAGGACUACCCGCUGAACUUAAGCAUAUCAAUAAGCGGAGGA